UGCGCAGGCGGUUCGUUAAGUUCGAUGUGAAAGCCCCGGGCUCAACCUGGGAAUUGCAUUGGAAACUGGCGGGCUUGAGUGUGGCAGAGGGGGGUGGAGUUCCACGUGUAGCAGUGAAAUGCGUAGAGAUGUGGAGGAACACCGAUGGCGAAGGCAGCCCCCUGGGCUAACACUGACGCUCAGGCACGAAAGCGUGGGAGCAAACA
Molecule: ribosomal RNA, 206 nt
Filed under: uncultured bacterium
Lineage: Bacteria
Description: partial 16S ribosomal RNA
Rfam family: Bacterial small subunit ribosomal RNA
Source: RNAcentral